CAUAGCUGCCAAUGUUCGUUCAUAAAGCACUAAUUCCAUAGCUGCUAUAGUCUAUUCAUCGGGUACUAAAUCCAUAGCUACCAGUCUUUAUCUAAUAGGUACUAAGUCCAUAGCUACCAAUGUUCAACAGGUACUAAGUCCAUAGCUACCAAUUCCUACAGGUACUAAAUCCUUAGCUACCAGCGUCUAACUAAUAGGUACUAAGUCCAUAGCUACCAAUUCCCAACAGGUACUAAAUCCAUAGCUACCAACGUCUAAAAGGUACUAAGUCCAUAGCUACCGGUGUUCGUCUCAUAGGCACUAAGUCUAUAGCUGCCAAUAUAUACUCACGUCAUCUUCUAUCUCUCAUCAUUCAUCUACCCAUCUCAUACCCAACAUAUUCGUAUAUAUAAAAUACGUAUACAGUUUAAAUCCUUUAAAACAUGUAUAAAACGUUCAUCCAACAUAGACAGCAAGUAUUCAGAUAAUAUGCACACAUAGCACGUAGUUUAUAUAAAAUACUUCAUAUCUAUGUGUAAGAUGAAAGGGACUAUGCACUCACCUGAGUAGGUGGUGACUCAGUACUCGGACAGCGCUUCGAUACUCUCAAAACGAUAUUCCUUCGAUAAAACCUAGUACCAAUACCACUAGAGUUUAGUUUAACGAUAACCGCG
RNAcentral lists this long non-coding RNA (653 nucleotides) under Lactuca sativa (garden lettuce). RNAcentral describes it as "long non-coding RNA (LSAT_LNC003900)". Lineage: Eukaryota; Viridiplantae; Streptophyta; Magnoliopsida; Asterales; Asteraceae. The record is from RNAcentral.